Molecule: ribosomal RNA, 491 nt
Filed under: uncultured bacterium
Lineage: Bacteria
Description: partial 16S ribosomal RNA
Rfam family: Bacterial small subunit ribosomal RNA
Source: RNAcentral
AGUGAACGCUGGCGGUAGGCCUAACACAUGCGGGUCGAACGGCAGCACAGUAAGAGCUUGCUCUUACGGGUGGCGAGUGGCGGACGGGUGAGGAAUACAUCGGAAUCUACUUUUUCGUGGGGGAUAACGUAGGGAAACUUACGCUAAUACCGCAUACGACCUACGGGUGAAAGCAGGGGAUCUUCGGACCUUGCGCGAUUGAAUGAGCCGAUGUCGGAUUAGCUAGUUGGCGGGGUAAAGGCCCACCAAGGCGACGAUCCGUAGCUGGUCUGAGAGGAUGAUCAGCCACACUGGAACUGAGACACGGUCCAGACUCCUACGGGAGGCAGCAGUGGGGAAUAUUGGACAAUGGGCGCAAGCCUGAUCCAGCCAUACCGCGUGGGUGAAGAAGGCCUUCGGGUUGUAAAGCCCUUUUGUUGGGAAAGAAAAGCAGCAGGUUAAUACCCCGCUGUUCUGACGGUACCCAAAGAAUAAGCACCGGCUAACUUCGU